UAUCACCUGAUAUAGUCUGCAGUGUUCUUAAUGUAGCAGUAGUGGCAAUCCUUUGUGCAAUAAACUAUUACCCAAUUAAACACUUCCUACUUAACAAAUAGAAAGUAGGUGUAUAGGUGAAAAACAUGU
Molecule: small nucleolar RNA, 129 nt
Filed under: Sorex araneus (European shrew)
Lineage: Eukaryota; Metazoa; Chordata; Mammalia; Eulipotyphla; Soricidae
Description: Small nucleolar RNA SNORA41 (ENSSARG00000018107.1)
Source: RNAcentral